GUCAAGGUUUCGACGGGGUUUUGGAAUCUGGAGAAGCAAGCCGGUGCGAACCGUUAAUCGCAAACUUAAAAUUAAACGCUAAUACAGAAUUAGCUGUUGCCUAAUGGCAACUGCCCGACUUAGUGCACUCACACAUUAAGACCCGGGCAUCGACUAUGUGAGAAACGACAUAUGCAAAGCUUUGAGCAUAUGGGCGUAUCAUGAAGCUACUGAAUGCAUUUCGUUGCUUACCACGGUGUGCAGGAGGGAAUGUCUAAAGAUAAGCUAAGCUUGUAGAAGUACGGUGGAAGGAGCUUCGGACACGGGUUCGACUCCCGUCUGGUCCACU
RNAcentral lists this transfer-messenger RNA (328 nucleotides) under bovine gut metagenome. It matches the Rfam family "transfer-messenger RNA". From Rfam's summary of the family: Bacterial tmRNA, also known as 10Sa RNA or SsrA, is named for its dual tRNA and mRNA-like properties. Its role is to liberate the mRNA from a stalled ribosome. The record is from RNAcentral.